Molecule: long non-coding RNA, 1874 nt
Organism: Homo sapiens (human)
Lineage: Eukaryota; Metazoa; Chordata; Mammalia; Primates; Hominidae
Exons: 2
Source: RefSeq, a predicted model, not a curated record
UAGGAAAGCAGAAAUGGAAAGCAAAACGUCUCACUCCUAGACAUGUGAGUUGGCUUCCUGGCCAAUGGAAAAGGAUAAACAAUGAGGCAGGGCCUGUGACCUUGUGGGUGAAACUGGGCAUGAAUGCAACUCUCUGAAUCCACGGCGAGCCUGGAGAGCUUAGCUUAGAAAUGGACAGAAACGAAGGGCAGGCGAGUGAAGCGGAGCUGACGUUGCACCUGAGGAACAGCCUUUGGAAAGAGCUGCUGCCUGGCAGCCGGUCACCACAGAACACUGGAACCACCACUGCUCCCCCAGCCUGGUAACAGCGGGUCCAGUGUUCCAGCCUGGGCAGUGUCCAGCUGGCAGGGCUGAGGUGGUUGCGCCCACAUCUCAGGCUGCAUGGUCCAGCGAGCUCAGGUGUUUGAUCUUUUUUCGUUACCAUGGUGAGAAGUGUGCUAGCGGGGAAAAAAGACAAAUGUAUCCCAUAGAUGAGUAUAUAUGGGGGCGAGGGGUUCUCCAUGAAAUGGUCCUCAUUGAUUUUUUUGUUUCAUUUGUUUUUAUGUUUUAUCUUGAUGGAGAAUUUGUGAUUUUCCUUCUCAGAAAAAUAGAGCUAUACUUACAUUUCAUAAUUUAUACUGCUGAUUUAUGCCACUGCGUUUUGACAGUUGUAUCAUAUCACCCAGCCUUCUCUUCUCCAGGAAGUGGUGUAUUCAUGGGUCCCCUGAGAUUCCAGCACUGCUUAUGAUGAGUGUAGAAAUUCUGUCUUGUCUGUCUUGCAGAAUGACAGAUUAGAAUAUGGCAUAGAUUCUUAAUGCUGUCUGUUGGGAAAACAAUAUUCUAAAGAUGAUUAGAAAGACAGUUUUAAUAUUAUGUGGAAUUCUGUUAUUACAUAUUACCAUUUAGAAAUACUACAGAGAAUUUAUAAUGAAAGCAUAAAAUAAUUGAAUGAGGUUUUUAAUAGUCCAUUAGAAAAUUGUUGAAAAUUUUUUCCUAAUUCCUUUAAGGGAAUUUUAUUAUAAUUGUCUUGAUUGUUGUUUCAAUCAAAUGGCAGUAGUGAAAAGGGCGAAAUUAUCAAGGCAGGGGGUAGGAGGAGGAGGCGCUGGGUAGGAUGCUCUGAUUUCUUAAGAAGAAUAGGAUAGCUGUAAAGAAACCAGACAUGAUUGCUUGAGAAUUUUCCUUUCAAAAUGAUAAUAUCACACUUUAUAUCAUUUAUGUAGCAUUUUUCCUAAUUUGACUUUUUAUCUGGCCAUGACUUUUAAAUUCAGUUAUAAAUAUUAAUUGCCUGAAGUGUUAUAAAAUCCAUUUUUAUUUGAGAGAUACUCACAAGCAAAAUUAUAUGCUGCAUUUCUCGUCUUAGCACUUCACUCUGAAGUGCAUACUUAAUGGUAGUUCAUUUUAGGUAUGUUAUUGAUUGGAUUACAUUUUUAAAAUGCAAAUGAGUAAGUGCGUUUAUGGAUGGCUGGGUUUUAUUUCUUUGCCAGUAUUUCUUCCUGGUAUCCUGAAGUUUCUCCUCAUGUGAAGUAUACAAUUAAGCAUUCCUGUCAUACUUAAAUUAAUUAGACCUUUUAUUCACUAGCAUUGCCACCCCAGAGGAACAGAGUGGUGCAGAGGAGUUCAUCAGCAAAAUAUACACUAAACAAUAAAAAAAAAAAACCUUUUUCUCUAAUUCUUUUGAAACAAAACAUCCAAAUAAUAAAAUAGUUUCUAGGUAGUUGUCUAUCUUCAUGAUCAUGUUAUAAAAGAUAUAAUCCUUAUAAAAAUAAGUUCAUAUUGUUUCAAAAAUUGUAUGUGAUUAUAAUUCAGUGAAAUUUGGGAAACCAGAAUGGCUUUGUCAUGAUUACCUAUUUUCUUAUGUACAGAUAAAAUUAAAUUCUGUCUCUGUGUUUACUGCA